This is a long non-coding RNA of Juglans microcarpa x Juglans regia, 620 nucleotides long. RefSeq lists it as uncharacterized. NCBI's taxonomy places the organism in Eukaryota, Viridiplantae, Streptophyta, Magnoliopsida, Fagales, Juglandaceae. The record is from RefSeq and is a predicted model, not a curated record. The transcript has 2 exons.
ACCAUUCAUUUCGACGAUCAACCAGUUUCUCUACUAGUCUCUUUUCUUCCUCCUUUUCUUCCUCAUUGUUUACAACUUGUUCCCUUUUUCGUUAGUAUUCUGUAUUUUUUGUGAAGAAGCCAAUUCGCAGAGCAAGAGCGUCUAUAAAAGAUGGCGCAAAUUGCAUUGAAGGUUGGCGAUAGAAAAUAAAAUCUGAGCGAUUCUCCGUGCCUAUCAAAUCUCUUUCGUUUUGAUUAUGGCCUCGAACAAGUCGCUACAUUCAAUUCUUCUCCUCUCUCUCUCUUUCUCUCUGAAAUUCCGAUCUUAUUUUCUAUGCACUUUUUUCUGUCUUUUGGUUGUGUUUUUAAUGGGAGAAGGACAUGCACAUGAUUUUGGAAAUGAAAAGAAAAAAGUAUUGUUCGUGGAAUUCCCCUGAAGGCUGUGUAAAACUUCAUCCCCAGAGCAGCCAUUGUUACACCGAAGCAAUUUGGAAUCUCUCUGCAAACAUAAAUGGUUCGAUCCUAACAUGAUUCUCACUUUCGGAAAACACCAAACCUGCAGAGAAUCAACUGGGCAAAGAAAGAUCAGCGGAGUCAAGCAGGCUGAUUUCCUCCGCUGCCCAAACACAUUGCAGAAUUCAU